CACAGUGACCUUCAUCCUGCAGAGCCAUGCAGACGCUGUGGACCCUCCUCUGCCUGGUGGCAGCUCCGCUGGGUGUUUUGUCUGAGCUGACCCUGCAGGAGUCGGGCCCAGGACUGGUGACGCCCUCCCAGACCCUGUCCCUCACCUGCUCUGUCUCUGGGGGCUCUGUCACCAGCAGUUACUACUGGAACUGGAUCCGCCAGCGUCCUGGUAGAGCGCUGGAGUGGAUGGGGUACUGGUCAGGAGGCACAAGCUACAACCCAGCUUUCCAAGGCCGCAUCUCCAUAGCCGCUGACACGUCCAAGAAUCAGUUCUCCCUGAAGCUGAGUUCCGUGACCCCAGAUGACACAGCCAUGUAUUACUGUGCAAGAGACACAGUGAGGGGACUUCAGUGUGAGCCCAGACACAAACCUCCCGCAGGGGCAUGAAGAACACCAGGGGGC
Non-coding RNA from Microcebus murinus (gray mouse lemur), 443 nucleotides. The record is from the annotation of a RefSeq genome assembly. Lineage: Eukaryota; Metazoa; Chordata; Mammalia; Primates; Cheirogaleidae.